Molecule: microRNA precursor, 104 nt
Filed under: Marmota monax (woodchuck)
Lineage: Eukaryota; Metazoa; Chordata; Mammalia; Rodentia; Sciuridae
Source: RNAcentral
AGAGGGAUAGCUGGGUCAAAUGGUGGUUCCAUUUUCAGAUUUCCAAGGAAUCUCCAUACUGCUUUUCCAUAUUGGCUACACCAAUUUGCAGUCCCACCAGCAAU